Molecule: unclassified non-coding RNA, 302 nt
Filed under: uncultured fungus
Lineage: Eukaryota; Fungi
Description: partial contains 5.8S ribosomal RNA and internal transcribed spacer 2
Rfam family: 5.8S ribosomal RNA (bases 1-133)
Source: RNAcentral
UGGCUCUGGCAUCGAUGAAGAACGCAGCGAAAUGCGAUAAGUAAUGUGAAUUGCAGAAUUCCGUGAAUCAUCGAAUCUUUGAACGCACAUUGCGCCCCUUGGCAUCCUAGGGGGCAUGCCUGUCUGAGCGUUAUUUGCACAUCUCAAGCCUAGCUUGGUGCUAGGCCCUGCCGCCGGCGGGCCCUAAAUCUGACAGCAGACCCUGCGGCGCCUAAGCGUAGUCAUGUCUCGCCUGUGGCUCCUGCGUGGCCGGCUGGGAUCUCCAACCAGUUAGCCUCAGAUCAGGUAGGAAUACCCGCUGA